This 286-nucleotide ribosomal RNA is filed under the name Bacillus anthracis (anthrax bacterium). Its description in RNAcentral is "partial 16S ribosomal RNA". It matches the Rfam family "Bacterial small subunit ribosomal RNA", at positions 1244 to 1529 of the family's 1533-position model. Lineage: Bacteria; Bacillati; Bacillota; Bacilli; Caryophanales; Bacillaceae. The record is from RNAcentral.
GAGCUGCUAGACCGCGAGGUGUAGCUCAUCUCAUAAACCGUUCUCAGUUCGGAUUGUAGGCUGCAACUCGCCUACAUGAAGCUGGAAUCGCUAGUAAUCGCGGAUCAGCAUGCCGCGGUGAAUACGUUCCCGGGCCUUGUACACACCGCCCGUCACACCACGAGAGUUUGUAACACCCGAAGUCGGUGGGGUAACCUUUUUGGAGCCAGCCGCCUAAGGUGGGACAGAUGAUUGGGGUGAAGUCGUAACAAGGUAGCCGUAUCGAAAGGUGCGGUUGGAUCACCUC